This 332-nucleotide ribosomal RNA is filed under the name uncultured bacterium. RNAcentral describes it as "bacterial SSU rRNA". It matches the Rfam family "Bacterial small subunit ribosomal RNA", at positions 568 to 898 of the family's 1533-position model. The record is from RNAcentral.
UGCGUAGGCGGCUCAGAAAGUAGGGUGUGAAAGCCCUCGGCUCAACCGAGGAAUUGCGCCCUAAACUACUGGGCUUGAGGAACGCAGAGGUAAGCGGAACUUAGGGUGGAGCGGUGAAAUGCGUUGAUAUCCUAAGGAACACCAGGAGCGAAAGCGGCUUACUGGGCGUUUUCUGACGCUGAUGCACGAAAGCUAGGGGAGCGAACGGGAUUAGAUACCCCGGUAGUCCUAGCCGUAAACGAUGAGCACUGGAUUGGAGGCCCCCCCAUAGGCUUCUAGUCGUAGCGAAAGUGUUAAGUGCUCCGCCUGGGGAGUAUGGUCGCAAGGCUGAA